GACGAACGCUGGCGGCGUGCUUAACACAUGCAAGUCGAACGGAAAGGCCCUGCUUUUGUGGGGUGCUCGAGUGGCGAACGGGUGAGUAACACGUGAGUAACCUGCCCUUGACUUUGGGAUAACUUCAGGAAACUGGGGCUAAUACCGGAUAGGAGCUCCUGCUGCAUGGUGGGGGUUGGAAAGUUUCGGCGGUUGGGGAUGGACUCGCGGCUUAUCAGCUUGUUGGUGGGGUAGUGGCUUACCAAGGCUUUGACGGGUAGCCGGCCUGAGAGGGUGACCGGCCACAUUGGGACUGAGAUACGGCCCAGACUCCUACGGGAGGCAGCAGUGGGGAAUAUUGCACAAUGGGCGGAAGCCUGAUGCAGCAACGCCGCGUGCGGGAUGACGGCCUGCGGGUUGUAAACCGCUUUCGCCUGUGACGAAGCGUGAGUGACGGUAAUGUGUAAAGAAGCACCGGCUAACUACAUG
RNAcentral lists this ribosomal RNA (468 nucleotides) under uncultured bacterium. RNAcentral describes it as "partial 16S ribosomal RNA". It matches the Rfam family "Bacterial small subunit ribosomal RNA", at positions 28 to 507 of the family's 1533-position model. The record is from RNAcentral.